This 232-nucleotide ribosomal RNA is filed under the name uncultured bacterium. RNAcentral describes it as "partial 16S ribosomal RNA". It matches the Rfam family "Bacterial small subunit ribosomal RNA", at positions 118 to 347 of the family's 1533-position model. The record is from RNAcentral.
UGAGGAACAUGACCUUCGGCGGGGGAUAGCCGGCCCAACGGCCGGGUAAUACCGCGUACGACCACAUGGGGACAUCCCUGGGUGGUGAAAGCAGCAAUGCGCCGAUGGAGUGCCUCGCGGCCUAUCAGCUAGUUGGUGAGGUAACGGCUCACCAAGGCGACGACGGAUAGCUGGUCUGAGAGGAUGGCCAGCCACAUUGGGACUGAGACACGGCCCAGACCUCGUACGGGAG